Molecule: ribosomal RNA, 497 nt
Filed under: uncultured bacterium
Lineage: Bacteria
Description: partial 16S ribosomal RNA
Rfam family: Bacterial small subunit ribosomal RNA
Source: RNAcentral
GAUGAACGCUGGCGGCGUGCCUAAUACAUGCAAGUCGAGCGAACAGACGAGGAGCUUGCUCCUUCGACGUUAGCGGCGGACGGAUGAGUAACACGUAGGUAACCUACCUAUAAGACUGGGAUAACUUCGGGAAACCGGAGCUAAUACCGGAUAAUAUUUCGAACCGCAUGGUUCGAUAGUGAAAGAUGGCUUUGCUAUCACUUAUAGAUGGACCUGCGCCGUAUUAGCUAGUUGGUAAGGUAACGGCUUACCAAGGCAACGAUACGUAGCCGACCUGAGAGGGUGAUCGGCCACACUGGAACUGAGACACGGUCCAGACUCCUACGGGAGGCAGCAGUAGGGAAUCUUCCGCAAUGGGCGAAAGCCUGACGGAGCAACGCCGCGUGAGUGAUGAAGGUCUUCGGAUCGUAAAACUCUGUUAUUAGGGAAGAACAAACGUGUAAGUAACUGUGCACGUCUUGAUGGUACCUAAUCAGAAAGCCACGGCUAACUACGUG